This 1176-nucleotide unclassified non-coding RNA is filed under the name Leishmania donovani. RNAcentral's name for it is "gene:LdHU3.34.4790(CDS-product:hypothetical_prote in_conserved)". Lineage: Eukaryota; Euglenozoa; Kinetoplastea; Trypanosomatida; Trypanosomatidae. The record is from RNAcentral.
CCCGGCGGCCGCACGACAGCAUCCACGCUGUUCUGGUUCAAACGUCGUUGUGUAGUCAUGCUGAACAUCAUCAUGGAGGGGCUCACUCAGCCCCUGCAGAUUUCCUCCAACGGUGCUUACUCCCUCGGUCUCCUGCUUGCCCUCUCAACGGGACCACUUCCGCUGGCUAGUGAGCACAUCAUCGGCGCGUACCUUGCUCUGCAGCUCAUGUGGUGGCUACUGCUGUGUAUUCGUGCAGCACGCGCGGCCGGGUCGCAGUCGGCGCGUCGAGAGCUCAAAGAGAGGGCGAAGGAGGCAUAUCUCAAGUGGAUGGACGGAUUGCGCUUCAGUGUCGCCGAGCUUAUUUGCCACCAUCUCCUGCACUUCGAGUUUGGCGCACAAGUCUGCAUGUUCUACUGUGGCACCGGUGCGCUGCGCACGGUGGCGAGACCGUUACUUUACGUGAUACUUCGCCUGAGCGCUGGAUCGGAGUGGGCCACCCGUUUAACCGGGUACAACCCUGCCUACCUUCUGGAAUCCGUAGGCUGCGGCAACAGGACGGAGUUUGCAAGUGGUCCUGCGUGGAAGCAGCACGGGCAUGCUAGUGGUGCGGGUGUCGAGGCGACAUCGGCGCAGGUGCGGGUGUCGAGCCUGGCGCCGACGAAGCACUCAGAUAGCGCGAAGAAUAACAACAACCGCUGCACAGUGUUGGACGAGGGGCCGCACUUUAACCGCACCUCCCGUGGGUGCAUGCUGAAGUACACUGAGUGACUGACUCAGCCCCGCACACAAGCUGACACGCGUAUGCACAAAGGGCGAUGCACUUGGAUGCGCACGAGUGGUUGCGGCUUGCUGUUGUGGUAUUGCACGUUUGGGGCAAGGUCGUGCUCGCUAUGCCCACGUGUAAGAUUGGCCAUCGUAAGGUGGAGGAUCUUUCUGAUUCCAGGAACCGGCUCACGAGCGUGACGCACGUAGACGUCGCGCUUCCACAUGCAGACGUGUACGCGUGUCAUCGUGCAAGAUAGCUGGCGAUGCCCGCCUCGCACGGCGUCGCUGACAACGAGAGACAAAACACCGAGCUCGCUGUCCCUAGAGACACUAGCACGGCUGCGCGCCGUCUCUCACACCUCGUGCUGUGGGCGCGAUUGUGUCCCACUUGCAUGCGUGGGCCCUCGCCUUGUCGAGGAGCUGUUUUUC